This 9374-nucleotide long non-coding RNA is filed under the name Pelobates cultripes (western spadefoot toad). The record is from RNAcentral. Lineage: Eukaryota; Metazoa; Chordata; Amphibia; Anura; Pelobatidae.
GAUUGGUCUCAGUGUGGCAAAUGACAUGCAUGCACACUAGCCCCUCAAUUCAUCUCCAUAAGGAAACCUGGAUUGGCCCCGAUCAUCAGUAAUGGUGAUCUCGCGGCUGCAGCAAGACAGACACAGCGGUGAAAUAAAGGUACACAAAUAAUUUUUCAUACUUCUGUGGGAACCAGACAUUUAAAUAGGUGUUUGUAUUCCUGACCCUGUAGUGUCCUUUAAUAUAGGUAUCUGGCUAAGUCAGAAAGCAUGUCGGAGAGAGAAAACGCGCGUCGGAGAGAGGGAGAAAGUGAGUGGGAGAGUGUGUGUGUGCGCGAAAUACAAAGUACAUGAUAUGGGUAUCAUUACCUUUUCAAGCUUUGCCAAUCCACAACUCGUUAACACUCAAACAACACACAGACACAACCCAGCACUAGCAGCAGCCAUACACUCAUACAUUUGGUGGGAUUUUGCUAUCUUGGCACAUUUAUGCAAGAAAUGGUUUAUUUGUGUUCUCUUGGGUAACGACAGCAGUGAUUCAGCAGUCUGCAACAAAAUUCCCACGGAUGCAAACGGAAUUUUCUGUCUUGGCUGGUAUCAUCGCACUUUACUCAAGAAAUCUCUAUAGAAAGAAAGGAGGGGAGUCCAGUGUGUAUGUGUGUGUGUGUGUGUGUGUGUGUGGUUCCCUCUCACUGCCGCAAAGCUGGGGACUUCCCACUGAGUCGGGUCUUUGCUUUCUCUGGAACUCUGUCUGGACCUAUCUGUUCCUCUUUUGGUCUCCAUUUCAUCAGACAUUAAUAAAUAAUAUAGAGGGAAAAAAAACACGCAAUAGCAGAGUAUCAUGUUAAUGAAAUGUAGUGUAGAGCAGGUGUACCUUUAACAUAAAGCGGCACUGUCACUGUCUGGGGGUUUUGCAUAAUUUACCAAGACACCCAACCGGUCUAGUGCUGGAGGGCAAGUUAAGAGGAGUUCUACUUACCUGUUACCUACUUACGUCUACACACUAAGCAAGCACCAGGUCUUAGUUUUACCACUAACUAGCCUAGCCAUACAUUCUAAAACUGAAAUCAAUGAAAGGCAGCAACAUUCUUUGUAAAUUCUAGAAUUCCAAUACAUCGGACUAGAAUGGUCAGUUGGUGUCAGUUCUUUCAGACAAGGGAGGUCUCGCUCUUGUUCUUCAUGAACAAAUAUGUUACAGUCAACUAAAAACUUCUAGCAUGUUCACAGCAAGGUCCUUUGGGUUUACACAUUGAAGGGACCAUGAAACCACCCAAAGUUCUUUAUCUCAGUGAAGUAGUCUUGGUGCCGUGGUCCUGUUAUUUUUACCCCAUAAUGACAAACACUAACGUUUUUAGGGUUAAACACACCUUUAGUGUCUGUCUUCCAGACAACCACUAGUUUCUCAAUGAGACGAGGAAGCCAUCCUCCUCAAUUAUGUAGUGGGAGGCGAAGAGAUGCUUCUCUGCACUGAAAAAAGGUAAUUAAAAAGUUAUGAGUUUUUUUUAUCAUAUUUUUUUUGGUGAUUUUACCCGGGAGGUCCUGAAUCUAAGGGAAAGGGGCAUUAGAGUGGCACACUGAAAUCCAAAAUUGCACAACAGAGUCUAAAAUAUCGAGUUGUGCCUGUAGUGGACUUGGAAUUUUUUUUAAUAUUAUUAUUUUUAUUUUUUUUAAGAUCACUCUUUUUGUUUAGUUUUGCAAUAUAUAUUUUAAUUUGUUAGAAUUCAAAGUUUAGUGAAUAAUCCCCAUCGCGUUUUAUCACUAUGAUGGAAAAAGAACAAUGUAUGUUUACGGAGACAUUGUGUCAGACUAAACAAUGCAUUGCAUACAAUACGCUAACAAGCUGCAUCAUGAAAUAUUUAGAAUUUACACCCCCCGUGGCUUUGCCUGUGUUUACAGUGGCACAACAGCUGCAUAAUGAGUACAAUUUCACCAUCAAUGUCAGCAUUAAAUAAAAUUACAAUGAGAUUAGGUAAGCGACUCUGUUGAUAUUGCCUGGAGACGUUUUGUUCGUAAGUCACAAAACAGUUUGAGGGUUUUUUACUAAAAACUCUUAAUAGCUGACAAAUAAAAUACAAAUGGUUAAUUUUAGGGCAAAAACUGUUGAUCUGGAACAUUCCCAUUUUAAUUGAUUAGCAAUUCACUAUUUAGUAAAUAGACUUCAAAUGGUGGAGAGCUUACCUCCUGCAGCUAAUUUCAGGUUAUUCGCUAACUAAAAUUGUAGCAAAUGUUGCCUAAAUGUGGUCAUUGAAAUUUUACAUUUUCUACAAUUGUUUAGUGAAUAAUCUCAAAUGAGUGUGAAAUGUGGCAAAAAAAACUUUGAACCCAUUUUAAUAAUUAAAAAUUUGAUCAGAGCCUAAGGAUUUGCAUUAAAAGUAGAAAGUUUUAAGACAUUGGGUCACUGCAGAAAAGUGUGAUGGAGACAUUUACACAUUUGCAUAUACAACACAGCAUUCUGGGAGACCUAUGGAAAUGCUGACUUUCCAAACUGGUGUAUAAGAGGCAGAUAAUUCAGGAAGUGGUAAUGGGUCUGAAAAUGAUUUAAUUCUAAGCUAGGGGGAUGUCACCAGGGGACUCGUGGCACUUAUAAGUAGAAUGCUGUAGCAUUUAUGGUGCUUAGAUAGCCCCUUUAAUCCAUUAAGGACACAACUUCUGGAAUAAAAGGGAAUCAUGCCGGAAUAUUUCCGUCAUGUGUCCUUAAGGGGUUAAAGACUCAAAAUAUGGGAGUAAUCUGGAGAUUUACAACUCUCUGUAGUGGUUAUGGUUCCAAGACUGACGUUUUUGACGGCACCUAGGGUCCGCCGUUACUUUGGCCGGUGAGCCAAAAGUUCCUAGAUAGAAAGGCUAAAAGAAGUAACUGCAUAGGGAUUUCUGGCUCUUUUAUAAAUUGCUUUUUCUGAGAAGGAAUAGUUUUCUCAUUGUGCUCUGUGCUGACUCCAGUGCUGUAAUGCAAUAAGCCAGUAAAUCUCUCCAUAGGAUCCCAGCCGCGCAGUCAUAAAAACAGCAUUAUUUAUUUUAAACCUUACUGCUCCGGAAACGCCUGUGUAUGCUGCCUGUUUAAUGAGCACUUAAUGAUGCGUUGCCUUCGCUUUAAAGAAAUGUUAUACAUCAUUAUUACUAAAUGGCAUUGGAGACGUGGGUAGCAUAUUGGGGGGGGAGGGGGAAAGAUAGUAAAUAGCGCAUUACCAAAGCAGACAGCAUUUUUUAAUAGCUUGUGACAUUGAAUAUGCAAGCUGUAGGAGCACAAGUUACAUCCAAGGGAGCUCUAACUACUAAUUUUACAAGCACUCUAAACACCUUAUAAAAUAUAAAGCAUUAUGUCUGUCACGCUCCAAGCACUUGCCACUGGUUGGCUAAUCACUAUAUAUAAGGGGGGGCAUUUGGAAAUUUGAGAAAAAAAAAAAGCUUGGCAAUGGAUAGCAUAAAUUUUAUUUCGAGUAUCGCCUUUAAAAAGCAGCAGUGUUCUAAUUAUGCUACAUUCAUAUGAUCUCAGAGUCAUUAAACCACCAAAAAAAAAGGCACUUCUAAUGUAAUGUUAUGAUUAAGGGGUUGUAGGGUUGUUGUAACUUAGGGUGCUUGGCAUCAGUGUUAAGGGGGACAUGACUGACAUAGCAAGUUCUCAGUCAUCUACAUGGAGAUACCAGUGCAUGAAGGUACCAUGGGCACGACUCAAAUCUCGCGCUCUGAAUCCUGAGGAUGAGAUUUAAAAAUGAUCCUCUACUUUUGUGGACAAAUAUAUAACAUUUUCAAAUUUAAUGGCAUUGCAUGAAAAGUGCUGGUCUGUAGUAUGUAGCAGUCAGAUGCUGUGCAAAUAAAAACAAACUUAUCAAGACAGUUCCUGUCUGGCAAUACUUUUCGUAGAAAUGUUGUGUGACCCGGAGAACAUGAUCAUACUGGCAACCCCAAGUAAUGCAAGGGUUUUGGUAUUUUUUUGUUUUUUUUAAUGAAAUACAUUAGAAACAUGUUUUAGCCAAAAUUCCUCUUUAAGAGAAUUCUACACAGCAAUAAAGAUUUUAUCAACAGACAUUGAAGUAAUGUGAGGCCUGGCAAGUCAGGGUGGCUAGAAGCGUUGACAGCGAUAAGAAGCUUGUGCAACAAGGCGGAAUCUCGUUAACUUGUGCACAAAAACAACCACACGUUGAUUUACUUCCAGAACCAAUGAGACUUCAAUAGUGCAACUUCACUGUCAGCAAUGACGGAAUUAAAAAUGAGCUGGAAACUAAUAAACGUCUCCCGUGUCUGAGGCUGGGAGUGAGAGGCAUUGUUUGUUCUCACUUUGGGUGGAACAGGUAUACAUUUUCUGGGUCAAACAAUGCUAUUAUUUAAUUCUGCGCCUGCCCCAACCUGUGCCUGUCCUCACAGCUGCGCAUUUGCUAUAGAAAAGUACAAAAUCUAGAAUGUAAGCUCCUUUGAGCAGGGCCCUCAACACAAUCUGUUCCUGUGCAUCUAGCUUGCCUUUUUCCAAACACAUGUCUGUUAGUCCACCUAUUGUACAGCGCUAUGGAAUUUGUUGGCUCCUUAUACAUGAUAAAAUGCAUGCACAUACAGUCAAACAGCAACUUGCAAGAAUGGGACAGGCAUGAUUACUUCAUUCUAGGGCAGAAACCUCCAAGAUUGGCCAUUCCAGCUCUGGUUGACUGUUUCCCAUAAUGCUCAGCUGGUUUAAUGGCCAACGUUAGCCAGCACUGAUCUAGCGUGGCCACAUGUCACAGGAUGCUCAGUCAGUAUCAUGGCCACAGUCAGCCAGCACUGAUUUGGAGUAGUCAUGUGUCCUCAAUGAAAUUUAGGGAGAGUUAGUAAAAUUUAACAAGGGGUUGAUAUAGCGGCAGGAGACAUCUGGAUUUUUAGCACUUGUAAACUAACCAUAUCCUUAUAGAAACACUGUCACUUUUCACGUGCCGGCAUUUUUUGCAACGACCUCGUAACAGGUGAAACAUCUGCUAGAUUAUCUCCAAUCCCUGGCCUAUGAAGCUGGUAGGAGACAUAUCAACGUUCUACUCUCACGCAUGCAGAAGAAAGUGAAACGUAGACGUGUGAAAGUCAAAUUCCUAAAUAAAGAGCAAAGCUUUAUUUUAUCUGGUUAGACUUUAAGGUGUCACAAUCCUUUGCACCAGGCCUAGAUCACGUACCAGCAUUGGCAGUAAAUAUUUUUCUGCUUGUGUCUCUUAAUCACUUUAUGCAGGUUAUUACAUACUAUUAAGAAGGCUGUCAAAUAUUAGGCCCUUUUUGUUACCAGUUACUGUUUACCUUGCAAUCAAAAUGUAUUUGUUUUAGAUGAAUCAAUACGCUCGGUGACUUUAUCCCUAAUGUGAAUUUUGUACGGUGUAUUGGCCUACUCCAGAUUCAUUGUCAACGCUGUGAUACAGUAUUACACCCGAGUUCCAAAAUAAAGAUUUGAAAAAAAAAAAGGGAAGACCAUAGAGACCAUGGCCCUCAACUGACAUAUAUUCUUUCUAUAGUACAGCACUGAUUUUAAGCAAAAUUGGAAGCUCACUAAUAUUAAAGCUUUCUUUUCUCGCUAGUUUUGAAAACCAUGAUCAGCCAUUUGAUGUUCUCCCCUCCGCCGCACUGCAGGUUGGGGGCAUAUUGGAAAUUUUAAGCCUCCCUAAAGUUAGACGAUAGCCAUAUUGACCCUCUUAGGUUUUAUUUACAUUUCUUUUAAACGUUUUAAUGUGGCGGGUGACUAGCAAGACUAGCCAGCUGCACAUAACUAUUCUUUUAUUUUAUUUUUUACUCUUUGCCCACUGACUGCUAGUGCCAACUAGAAGGAAUUCAGACGUUUAAAAUCUAGGUUCGGAUUUCGGCAACAGUUGGAUUGGUGGAUUUUCACAUUUGCACUGCAGGUAACCAAUUCGGGUUUCUGUGAGCUGCACUGGAUUAGACUAGGAUCGUAAGCAAUGCUGAUCUCAAAAGAGGGGGAGCAGCUACAACAAGGAGACUGUCCAGGACAUCAAACUUUAAGGGUGUAAAUUUUAUUUAUUUUUUUAAAUAUGGUGUUCCUUUAAUUCUGCUUGUUGCAUUUCAUCUAACGUCUAGAUCUUAAAGGGAUAGUGUUAGGAAUACAAAUUUGUAUCGUAGCACUAUAGUGCCCUCUGGUUCCCCCUCCCUUGCGCCCCCCUCUAGCUCAUAAAAGGUUAAAAACAUUUUAUUCACUUACCCGAUUCCAGUGCCGAUGUGUGUCGGCGCUGGGUCUCCGAUCCGCUUCCUCGGACGUCGGACAGGGGGGACCUACUGCACAUGUGUGAUGAUUGCUGCAUGUGCAUUAGGUCCUCCCUAUAGGAAAGCAUUGAAUCAAUGCAUUCCUAUGAGGAGUUCACAGACUCUGGAUGUCCUCAUGCGGAGCGUGAGGACGCCAAGCGUCCCUUUGGUGACAGUCCGGUAAGAUCUCGGGAGAGACUUUAGUGGCUGUCUGGUGGACAGCCACUAGAGGUGGUCUUCGUACUGCAAUGUAAACAUUGCAGAUUCUCUAAAACUGCUAUGUUUUACAUUGCAGGACUAAGUGUGACAGAGGUACACUGCAGCCAGACCACUUCAAUGAGCUGAAGUGGUUUGGGUGCCUAUAUUGCGUCCCUUUAAAGAAGUUACCACAAAUGCAUCAAAUAUCAGCUGUACGUACGGCUCAUGUAAAAACUAAUUCAUAAAACUUUGCUAAUCACUCCUGUUCUAUACGCUGUACAAAAAAAGAUAUAUAUUUCCCCCCAAAACUUCCGCUUUUGUCUCUUAGGGACAAAAAUGUCAUGUUGCAACAGAUUCUGCCUAACCCCUUGACAUAAAGGAUUAAAGGGACACUCCAGGCACCAAGACCACUUCUGCCCAUUGGAGUGGUCUGGUUGCCAACUCCCACUACUCUUAACCCUGCAAGUGUAAUUAUUUUAUUUUUAUAUAAAACUGCAAUAAUUACCUUGCAGGGUUAACUCUACCUCUUGUGGCUGUCUACUUGGACAUUGUAAAUAAUAACAAAUUAAAAAUAAUAGGGUUUUUUUUUGUCUUGUUUUUAAACUCAAUGGAUGGACAGAAAUGCUGAGGAGGGGAGGGGGGCUAACUUGAAAUGUUUUGCAGAUCCCCAGCUAAUAUUAACAGAGGCCCAAAUGGGGGUAGAAGCACUAACCCUAAUACAUUCCAGGUUCCAGACAGAAAGCCAUUCAGUAAACAUGUCCGUCUCACUUACCAUCAAGACCUGUCUGACCCCCACAAUGGUGCCUUAUAAAUUAAAGGUCAACCACUUUAAUCAAGAAGCCAGGGUUUAAACAGAAACACAAACACAGAGACAUUUAUAUGUAUUUAUUUAAUUUACUUUUUUUUGUACCUUGUGUUUUCACCAGAUGUUUUCUGUUAAUCAACAACAUUUUAUGAACAUAAAAAUGACUAGACCCCCCGGCCAUCUGGGAUAUAGGUUUUAAUGUCGCCUUGUAGAUCUGUAAAGUGAUAGUCAUGCCCCCUAAAGCUUCAGCCCGCCAUCUUAGCACAUGCUAGGUCUAUUGAUCAGGCACCAAGCAUGUAGUGUUUAGGAUGAGAAGAGGGUGAAAGUGGCCACCUGGCUGAUGUAUGAGUCAAGGGGCAAUGCAUUCCUUAUUUUAUUUACCCGCUUGUGAAUACCGGGUAAGUGACCCUAAUAAGUGCAGCAUUAGACUCUGGAUCUGUGCCAACUGUAAGGAAUUCAAUUCAUAUGAGAACAUUCAUAUGCAGGAGAACCCCAAGAGGAGCUGGCCAGCAUUGUGGCCUGUCCGUCAGGUGAGCAUUCACAUCAGCCCCCUCUUACAGGUGAGACUGUCUACAUUCACAUCUUUAAAACGUCCCCAUCUGGUCUGCUCAUCUCCCAGUCUUGCUGUCAUCUCUGCAUGUUAUACUAUCUAAAAUAAUGAAAAUCCAACACCUCGAAAUAGGAAAGUUACGAAAAAAAAAGGACUGAUCAUAUUGGCUUCCUGCGAGGGACACUUGGGUGAUAUGUCCUCAGCACUAGCAAACAACGCGUGAAGCCACAGAUAUGGAAAGCAAAAAAAAGUGUGUUUAUUUUUAAACGCUUGGUUCCUGCUCCUGUCAAACACUGAUAAAAGGAUGAUGUAUUUAAAAAUAAAUAAACCAUUACUUCUUUCUGUCCCCCUCCCGAUUUAGGACAGUAACUAUGGUUCUAUUAGUAAAUAUCCCUGGGAAAUCCACAGAACUUUCAAUUCUAUCUAUUUUAAAAAAAAAGUUAAAUUCCCCUUAACUGGAAGCUAUAAACAGAUAUAGGAUUAUAUUUUAAACAUUAACAAGUUGUUAUUAUUUUAAAUCACCAACAUAGUGCAUAACGCUGUGCACUGGGUUUGGUCAGUAAGCCUCACUAUGAGAAGUCAAUACGAUAUUUCUUUAGUAACUAUUUGCAAAUUAAAUUAAUGUUUUGUCCCUGAUACAAACAUGCUAAGCAUCACCUGUCUGCAUUACCGGUUUGUUUUAUGUUAACAUAGUUACGCAACAUUUGGGUACUGCUAGCGCUCCCUUGCAUGCCUUCGCCUGUCAGUGCAAAAUAUCAUAUUAUUCAGAGGCUUAUGGCACACAUGCGUGGCUAAUCAGGAGCUGUGCCAAUCUGGGAGAGAUUGGUUGUUGCUCAGGUGUGAACUAGCCCGAUUGUGUUGUAAAAACUGAAUUAUAUAAUUAUUGUAAGAAUCAAAAGUUUCCACUCACCACAACCCAUUGGCAUGUGAAAAUUCCACCAUGGCGAGUAGAUAUUCAGACAUGGUGAGUGUGCUAUGGACUCUCCAAGCUUGCAAUGGCUAGUAUGUUUUAGGGACUGGCUAGUAUCGCAAGACUUGAAAUUUUUAAUCGAAAAUAGUUUAUUAUUUAUUUAAUCAUAAGUAUCACUGUCAGUUUGUAUACAUUGCUUAAGAGGACUUCCAUUUCCAGUGCCCCUCUAAAGUCAUACUCAAUAACAGACGUACCCAACAUCAAGUUGAUAAUUAGGUUUUGCUAUUUUGUUUUACAGAAUCCAGUCAGGGAUCCAAAAUGGAUGAGCAGAGGUCACGGCCUCCAAGCAGCUGCCAUGUUUGACACUGGCAUCAUGUCAUAGACCUCAACUGAUCUGCAACUAUUGUCCAUUAGACAAUCACACGUUGACCAACACAGCUAUAAAACCAUGUGUUUUACGUGAAGUGACAGCUUGACACAUGCAAAACAUGCAAGCUCCGACAAUCCUUUCAACCUCAAUGUGUCACUAAAGGCUGGGCAUGGGUUAGCCCCAUCACACACUGACCUCCCUGACUAUAAAAGGCAGAGGUGUGAUAAUAUUACAUAAAGACACGGGUGUGAUACCAUAUUUUAGACAGCUGUCAUGAAUCCCUAUUACACCACCCAAACAUAAAUUUCAGAACAAAUUUAUAAAUAGUAACCGAUCAACAACAUUAAGGAAAAAAAUAGCAGGUUUG